UAACGCGAAGAACCUUACCAGGUCUUGACAUCUUCUGCCAAUCUUAGAGAUAAGACGUUCCCUUCGGGGACAGAAUGACAGGUGGUGCAUGGUUGUCGUCAGCUCGUGUCGUGAGAUGUUGGGUUAAGUCCCGCAACGAGCGCAACCCUUAUUAUCAGUUGCCAGCAUUCAGUUGGGCACUCUGGUGAGACUGCCGGUGACAAACCGGAGGAAGGUGGGGAUGACGUCAAAUCAUCAUGCCCCUUAUGACCUGGGCUACACACGUGCUACAAUGGACGGUACAACGAGUUGCGAAGUCGUGAGGCUAAGCUAAUCUCUUAAAGCCGUUCUCAGUUCGGAUUGUAGUCUGCAACUCGCCUACAUGAAGUUGGAAUCGCUAGUAAUCGCGGAUCAGC
This 395-nucleotide ribosomal RNA is filed under the name uncultured bacterium. RNAcentral describes it as "bacterial SSU rRNA". It matches the Rfam family "Bacterial small subunit ribosomal RNA", at positions 957 to 1353 of the family's 1533-position model. The record is from RNAcentral.